Molecule: unclassified non-coding RNA, 134 nt
Filed under: soil metagenome
Description: partial internal transcribed spacer 1
Source: RNAcentral
ACAAAUCCAUGGUAUUCUUGAACAUCCCUAAUGGGGGUUUGAGAAGAACAUAAACUCGCUCGGUGUGAAAGCAUCGGGUGCUGUAUAUUAAUGUAUGUUGUGUAGACAAAGUGUGUGAUACAAAAAAUAAAUGA